AUAAACCUCCCCGAGGAUUGCCAUUAUUCAUACGAUCUCGACGUCAAACCUUCCCCGUCGUUUCUAGCAAGAGCUGUUACUUCCCAACUGACGCAUGCUGUUUCUUCCCAGCAAAUCCUUAAUCCAUCAAAGCCGGUCGAGUUUUUACAGUUGACGAUCGCCGUCAAAUCUACCACCGUCUGAAAGAAGCGUCGCCGCUAUUGAAAAGUAAUGUCGCCUUGUCCAACUGUCUUUCCCAAAUUUACCCGCCGACGUUCCCAAAAUCAAUGCACAUGUUGGAAUCAAAUGCAAGGGUUAGUUUUCUAGUAUUUUCCCCGAUUCCUUUUUUUUCAUUCUUGUUCUCUAGAUUUCCAAUUCCGGACGAGUUUCCGAUUGGUUUUUAACCUAUAUUGUUUUUCAUUCUUGUUCUCUAAAUUUCCAAUUCCGGAUGAGUUUUCGAUUGGUUCUUUAACCUAUAUAUAUGUGCUAAGUUUGUGCAUGUUGAUCCUUAUUUUUGCAUUGGUACAGUAAGAGAUCAAUAUUAAUCGAGUCCAUGAUUUUAAUUUUGAUUCUCCGUUUCUUUUGUGGAUUUGUUGGUUGUCGAAUUUGAAUUUGUCGCCUGAAUCUAUUUUGAGUUGAAUUUGUACAAAUAGUUACUUAUGAUGCAUAUUGUAUUUGGUUACAUCAGGGUUGCAUAGGUACUAAUUGUUAUAUAAACUUAGAAUUACCUGAAGAUUGUAUUGUUUGGUUCAUGUAAUCAAUAACAUUGGUGUGGGCUAUCUCAUUGUAUAUGUUAAUGGUCCUAUAUGUUGAAUGUGUUAAACACGAGUUCUAAAUCUGUUGUUGGGUUUGGUGGAACUGCACUUGUGUAGUAACCAAAUUUCGUCCGGGUUGUAGAGUUCGUAUCGACCUCUCGCUAUC
RNAcentral lists this long non-coding RNA (900 nucleotides) under Linum usitatissimum (flax). Its description in RNAcentral is "long non-coding RNA (LUSI_LNC007382)". The record is from RNAcentral. Lineage: Eukaryota; Viridiplantae; Streptophyta; Magnoliopsida; Malpighiales; Linaceae.